RNAcentral lists this long non-coding RNA (242 nucleotides) under Physcomitrium patens. Its description in RNAcentral is "long non-coding RNA (PPAT_LNC004902)". The record is from RNAcentral. Lineage: Eukaryota; Viridiplantae; Streptophyta; Bryopsida; Funariales; Funariaceae.
UCUUAUUUAGUAAUUUGUCGAAUGUUAUUACCAAUAUGUUUUAAAUCAUUUCUAGUAAAAUUUCUCCUUUUAGCAUAACUCAUUGCACUUGUCCACAAAGAACUAGAUUCUCCUAGAAACUCAAGAUUUAUACUUAAACAUCUACUAGGAUCUGCUUCUAUGUAAUAUGUUGAUGCUUCAUUGCUUGAGAUUGUAUGUACUUUAAAAGUACCUCCAACAAACAACUUCAUUCCUCCUUUACC